UUGGGGAGGGGGAGACAUUAGAGAUGGCCCAGUCCCCUCAUGAAGAAAUGGUGUCCUUUACCAGGCGGUACAGAUUGAAUUUCCACUCCAUCAUUUAUAUGGUAUGUCUUUGGUCAAGUUAUUCAACUUUUUCAGCCUCAUCUCCUUGUCUAUAGAGUAGUGAUGGUUAUGUUUCUUCCUAGCUGGACAGUUUAGGUAACAGCACAUGGGUUAGUAGCCAGCACAUGGUAGGUGCUUUAUAAAGCUCUAUCCCAUUGUCUAAUGCAGAGAGCACCUGCUCUGCUGUUGGCUUGUGGACUUCCCUGCAAACUGCCUGGGAGCUUUUCCCAGAUUAGAGUGGGAGGCAGUUCAGGGAGAUAAGACCUGAAGGGGUGAUGGGGAACACCAUGGUGGUCCCAGAUGGCUCUCCUGCAGAAACAAGUUGAUGGUGCUCUGGA
RNAcentral lists this long non-coding RNA (437 nucleotides) under Marmota monax (woodchuck). The record is from RNAcentral. Lineage: Eukaryota; Metazoa; Chordata; Mammalia; Rodentia; Sciuridae.